RNAcentral lists this transfer RNA (77 nucleotides) under Saccharomyces cerevisiae (brewer's yeast). Lineage: Eukaryota; Fungi; Ascomycota; Saccharomycetes; Saccharomycetales; Saccharomycetaceae. The record is from RNAcentral.
GGUCUCUCUGGCCCAGUUGGUUAAGGCACCGUCGCUAAUAACGCGGGGAUCAGCGGUUCUGAUCCUGUUAGGGAGCA